CAGCACAGAGAGAGGGACAGCAGGCUCCUGUUGUCAUGGCCAAGCGGGUCGUGAGACAGGAACCAGGCCCAGCUCUGCGCUAGCACAGGGUUCCAGGUCUCUCUCCUUGAAUUCCAGAACCCGUCUCUGCUCCAGUCGAUCUCUGGGAAUUCUUACCUCCCACUGUGGAAAGAUUGCUGUAAUAACCUCCCAGAAGCUGGUAACCAUGUACUGUAGCUGUCCUGCAGGUCCAGUGUGCAGAUCUUCCAUGGUUGGUUAGAGACAGAGGAGUGAGAGAGUUUGGCUUCUGUGCAUACUUGGAAGAUGUCCAGCUCGGUGGUUUGUAUUAACAGGAGCUAACACUGUUUUGGGGAAAGACGCCGAGAGUUCCAGAUUAAGACUGCUCAUAAAGACCCAGGACUCCAGAAUGGCCUGGUCAAUAAUGUCAGCUCAGCCUGUCCUUAAGCAAGGGGAAGGAUUCUGACUGUACAGGUUACUGCAGAAAUGCUGGGACAUUUUAUAAGAUCUUUGCAGGAACAAUUUCACUAGUCUGGUUUGAAAACGCAAAUCAAUAUCUGGCUGUGACUCUCUUACAAAUAACUAUUUCACGGUAUAUUUGCUUCUUUACCCUGAAAGUCCUACAGUAAAAGAAUUAUUUUCCCUU
Molecule: non-coding RNA, 643 nt
Organism: Lepisosteus oculatus (spotted gar)
Lineage: Eukaryota; Metazoa; Chordata; Actinopteri; Semionotiformes; Lepisosteidae
Source: RefSeq, a predicted model, not a curated record